Molecule: transfer RNA, 148 nt
Organism: Neurospora crassa OR74A
Lineage: Eukaryota; Fungi; Ascomycota; Sordariomycetes; Sordariales; Sordariaceae
Rfam family: tRNA
About the family: Transfer RNA (tRNA) molecules are approximately 80 nucleotides in length. Their secondary structure includes four short double-helical elements and three loops (D, anti-codon, and T loops).
Source: Rfam
GUGCGGUUGGCGUAGUGGUCAACGCGUUCGCUCAGUAAACUGUUGUCCUAACAGAGCCUACUUGGGUCUGCAUAGUCAGUGCCCUUACAGGUGCCAGGGGAGAACAUCUGACAGCGAAAGAACCCGGGUUCGAACCCCGGACCGCACA